UACAGAGACUGAAGCGUUAUUCGGAUUCCCUGGGCGUAAAGGGUGCGCAGGCGGCCAAGUGUGUGAGGCGUGAAAGCCUGGGGCUUAACCCCAGAAUUGCACCUCAAACUACUUGGCUAGAGCAUUGGAGAGGGUAGCAGAAUUCAUGGUGUAGCAGUGAAAUGCGUAGAUAUCAUGAGGAAUACCAGAGGCGAAGGCGGCUACCUGGACAAUUGCUGACGCUCAGGCACGAAAGCGUGGGGAGCAAAAGGG
This 252-nucleotide ribosomal RNA is filed under the name uncultured bacterium. RNAcentral describes it as "partial 16S ribosomal RNA". It matches the Rfam family "Bacterial small subunit ribosomal RNA", at positions 524 to 776 of the family's 1533-position model. The record is from RNAcentral.